RNAcentral lists this non-coding RNA (187 nucleotides) under Mus musculus (house mouse). RNAcentral's name for it is "Connexin-43 internal ribosome entry site (IRES)". It matches the Rfam family "Connexin-43 internal ribosome entry site (IRES)". Rfam says of the family: This family represents the connexin-43 internal ribosome entry site (IRES) which allows cap independent translation during conditions such as heat shock and stress. The record is from Rfam by way of RNAcentral. Lineage: Eukaryota; Metazoa; Chordata; Mammalia; Rodentia; Muridae.
AGCUUUCACCUGGUGUCAGCAAUUUUCUUUCAUUAGGGGGAAUGGGGAAGGUACGAAACAGCAGCAGGCUUUUAAACUUUAGGCAGGUGUGCCUCUUGAACUUACUGUCUUAUUUCACUUCAUCCUCCAAGGUGUGCACUCACUUGGGGUGCCCACCUUUUAAGUGCAAGAACAGCGAACAGGCAAC